RNAcentral lists this long non-coding RNA (781 nucleotides) under Lathyrus oleraceus (garden pea). RNAcentral describes it as "Pisum sativum (pea) long non-coding RNA (PSAT_LNC000893)". Lineage: Eukaryota; Viridiplantae; Streptophyta; Magnoliopsida; Fabales; Fabaceae. The record is from RNAcentral.
UCCCUCGGAACACACGAGGCUUGACCUUCUUAACGCGUGCUUUUUCACUCUCUGCUGAUAUGACUGACCAUGACACAUGGCAGUUGAUCUCUUCUUUUCGAUCGAAUUCAGCAUCAGUCAACUUGGGACUUCGAGGGUGCUAUUUUUAUUUUGUUUUCUUUUGAUUUUGCUUUUGAUUUCUUUUGAUUUUGCACCCUCUCUUUCUUUGUUUUUUUCUUUUUUGAUUAAUGCCCCAGUUGGCUGUUCUGCUGAUUCUCGAGAUGCAGCUGAAUGAUCUUCUUUUCUUGCUCAAGAAAUCGGGAAAUCUCGUCAGGAAUCCCUUCAACAUCAUCUUCGUCCGCUUCAAAUACAGGGAAUUCAAAAUUGGGAGAUGACGUCCGAUCAUUAUGUUCAAUGGGUUUGAGAAACAACCUGCAUAAAGAUUUUGAUAUGAAAAGCUCUUUGAAAAUCAAACAAGACAAUCGUUAUGCAGAUGAAAAGAUUGCUUUUAUUCUUGUUUUUAAGGUUUUUUGUGAUCACCAAUUUCAUGUAAAUAGCGAAAAGAGAAAACAAAUGGAAAAACAAAUGUUUAACAUGAAUUUAUUUGAAUGAAAAUAUCAUUGCACAAAAUGUUGCCAACAAUGCCAUCACUUCUCCUUUUGGCAUGGGAGAAGGGUUUUUAAACAAAGUGAUUAUUACAAAGACUUAUGAACAACUGUAGGAACGCCCACAGUGACCCAAUUGUGAUAGAUCCCACCGGGGAUGACAACUGUCAGUAUCUCUUGCAUCAGCAGCUUCUGUU